Molecule: long non-coding RNA, 1319 nt
Organism: Leguminivora glycinivorella
Lineage: Eukaryota; Metazoa; Arthropoda; Insecta; Lepidoptera; Tortricidae
Exons: 7
Source: RefSeq, a predicted model, not a curated record
AGCGUUUUUCAAAAUCGGAGUUGGCAACACUGACGCCGAAGUGAUUUGUCAACGCGUCUUGUGUUAAUUUUUUUGCGGUUAUCUAUCACAUCACAGAUCUAACAACUUACAAGUUCAAUGGAGUAAGUGAUCGAAUCUUUAAAAACAUGGGAGUUGGAGAACUUAAUACGAAAAUUCACCACCCCGGAAUCGGACGCUAAUAAAACCAUGUUCCGAUGGUAAUAGGCGACGCCCAGCGUGUCCGGGUGUUGAAAUAAGUGCAAAACUGCUCUCCGCUCGCCUUUUGUCCACCAACGGGUUCACGCCGCGUCGCCUAAUCCUCGCGCCGGUCGCCAGCAUUCCCCGCUGUGUUCCGGUAACCUACAGGCGGCAAGCUGACGCUGCCGUCAUCCACACGACACCAUCUCUGAGGCGGCUGACGUGGCAGUCGUGGUGGUCUGAGGCGGCUGACGUAGCACGUUUGAGACCCUGAUGGAUUUUUCUGAGUUUAACAUAAGCACAGACCUAAUAGUUAUAGAAACUUCAGAAAAGGAAAACUUGUCCUCGGAAAAGGAAAAUGUGCCAUCUGCAAUUGCUGAGAAGAAAGCAGAGCCCAGUUAUAAUUCCAGGAUUGUGGAAAAGUCAUUGGACUCUGCAUCACUAUUUUGAAAAUAUUCUGCUCUCAAAAAACCACAAGGAUAUUCUUUGCGGCUUAACGACUUCAAAAGCACAUGAAAUUUACUAGGACAAUUUGUUUAUAAAUUUUCCAUCAAUGAAAAUAAAUCUUCAGGAACAGCUGAAAUACAAAAAGUCGAACUUACUGCACUUACCAAUUCGCCCUAUGAGGAAACAACGAAUAUAGCCGGAUUUCUCACCAUUCCAUUUUUGCUGAACACUGCGGCAGUCCGCCAAAAGAAGAAGCGAGGUUCCGGUGCAAGUCAAAAUUGGAAGCCCAGUAAAAUGGAAGUAAGGGAAGGUUUCAUAAAGCAUAUCCGCUCUAGUGUAGAAAUUAGCCAGACCAUCGAACUUCGCAUAGCCACACUUCAAAAAAUAGGAUUGUCAUGCCAGCCAUACAUAAUUGUUGUGGGUGAGUCUCUUGAAAAAAUCGAAUCAUUUCUAGUUGUUGUCAGCAGAUCGAUAAUCUAUGAAAGACAGUCCAUUAUGAACGCAGUAGAUACGUGCUACAAAAUAUAUAAUACAAUGAAAAUAUAAUACAUUGUACUUACUGGUGAACUCUGGUAUUAAGACGAUACAGGAGUGAUCUAUUCUCCAUACAAACGCUCUCGACUAUUUCCUCCCUGGUUUUUCAAGAUACAGCAAUGAUUUUUUCAAGACAGAUU